Molecule: unclassified non-coding RNA, 451 nt
Filed under: Hevea brasiliensis (rubber tree)
Lineage: Eukaryota; Viridiplantae; Streptophyta; Magnoliopsida; Malpighiales; Euphorbiaceae
Source: RNAcentral
AGAGAGAGAGAGAGAGAGAGACUAUUUAAGAUUUCUCAAUUAUAAGAUUCUGCAGAGAUAGCCACAAAUGUCUUGAAACAGCAACGAAGCAUAAAAAAAGUAAAAAAUCUCCAGCUAUGGAUCUCUUCAAUUAAAGUAAUUCAAUGCGCCACCAAUCUCUACAGACAAAAGGCAGUGCAGAACGCCAAAGACGGCUAGCCCUCAAAAGCAGGAAAAGAGAUAAGCAAACCAAGAAAUACGCAAAAACAAACCAAUAUAUUUAUACAUAUAUAGAGACCACUGCUGCUGCUACUGCUGCCAACAUUAAUAUCCAGUAGUGUUUAUAUAUAUAUAUAUACAUAUAUCUGCUUUAUAAUUCCUCUCUCUCCCUGCUCUCUUCUUUCCAAAGUGGUAGUUGAAAGGGAGAGACCAAACCCAAGUCCCCUGAAUUCCACUUCCGAUUCGAUUCCCU